UACAUAGGUCCCAAGCGUUGUUCGGAUUCAUUGGGCGUAAAGGGUGCGUAGGCGGCGCGGUAAGUCGGGUGUGAAAUCUCGGGGCUUAACUCCGAAACUGCAUUCGAUACUGCCGUGCUUGAGGACUGGAGAGGAGACUGGAAUUUACGGUGUAGCGGUGAAAUGCGUAGAUAUCGUAAGGAAGACCAGUGGCGAAGGCGGGUCUCUGGACAGUUCCUGACGCUGAGGCACGAAGGCCAGGGGAGCAAACGGG
RNAcentral lists this ribosomal RNA (253 nucleotides) under uncultured bacterium. RNAcentral's name for it is "partial 16S ribosomal RNA". It matches the Rfam family "Bacterial small subunit ribosomal RNA", at positions 524 to 776 of the family's 1533-position model. The record is from RNAcentral.